Molecule: ribosomal RNA, 444 nt
Filed under: Streptococcus parasanguinis
Lineage: Bacteria; Bacillati; Bacillota; Bacilli; Lactobacillales; Streptococcaceae
Description: bacterial SSU rRNA
Rfam family: Bacterial small subunit ribosomal RNA
Source: RNAcentral
GAUGAACGCUGGCGGCGUGCCUAAUACAUGCAAGUAGAACGCUGAAGCUUGGUGCUUGCACCGAGCGGAUGAGUUGCGAACGGGUGAGUAACGCGUAGGUAACCUGCCUCUUAGCGGGGGAUAACUAUUGGAAACGAUAGCUAAUACCGCAUAAAAGUCGACAUCGCAUGAUGUUGAUUUGAAAGGUGCAAUUGCAUCACUAAGAGAUGGACCUGCGUUGUAUUAGCUAGUUGGUGAGGUAACGGCUCACCAAGGCGACGAUACAUAGCCGACCUGAGAGGGUGAUCGGCCACACUGGGACUGAGACACGGCCCAGACUCCUACGGGAGGCAGCAGUAGGGAAUCUUCGGCAAUGGGGGCAACCCUGACCGAGCAACGCCGCGUGAGUGAAGAAGGUUUUCGGAUCGUAAAGCUCUAUUGUAAGAGAAGAACGAGUGUGAGAGU